AUUGAACGCUGGCGGCAUGCUUUACACAUGCAAGUCGAACGGCAGCGCGGGCCUCGGCCUGGCGGCGAGUGGCGAACGGGUGAGUAAUACAUCGGAACGUGCCCAGUAGUGGGGGAUAGCUCGGCGAAAGCCGGAUUAAUACCGCAUACGACCUGAGGGUGAAAGCGGGGGAUCUUCGGACCUCGCGCUAUUGGAGCGGCCGAUGGCAGAUUAGCUAGUUGGUGGGGUAAAGGCCUACCAAGGCGACGAUCUGUAGCUGGUCUGAGAGGACGACCAGCCACACUGGGACUGAGACACGGCCCAGACUCCUACGGGAGGCAGCAGUGGGGAAUUUUGGACAGUGGGCGAAAGCCUGAUCCAGCAAUGCCGCGUGUGUGAUGAAGGCCUUCGGGUUGUAAAGCACUUUUGGCGGGAACGAAAAGGACUGUGCCAAUACCACGGUUCGAUGACGGUACCCGCAGAAUAAGCACCGGCUAACUACGUG
RNAcentral lists this ribosomal RNA (484 nucleotides) under uncultured bacterium. Its description in RNAcentral is "partial 16S ribosomal RNA". It matches the Rfam family "Bacterial small subunit ribosomal RNA", at positions 29 to 507 of the family's 1533-position model. The record is from RNAcentral.